This 301-nucleotide ribosomal RNA is filed under the name uncultured bacterium. RNAcentral's name for it is "partial 16S ribosomal RNA". It matches the Rfam family "Bacterial small subunit ribosomal RNA", at positions 509 to 807 of the family's 1533-position model. The record is from RNAcentral.
CAGCCGCCACGGGAAUACAGAGGGUGCGAGCGUUAAUCGGAUUUACUGGGCGUAAAGCGUGCGUAGGCGGCUAAUUGAGUCGGAUGUGAAAUCCCCGAGCUUAACUUGGGAAUUGCAUUCGAUACUGGUUAGCUAGAGUGUGGGAGAGGAUGGUAGAAUUCCAGGUGUAGCGGUGAAAUGCGUAGAGAUCUGGAGGAAUACCGAUGGCGAAGGCAGCCAUUUGGCCUAAUACUGACGCUGAGGUACGAAAGCAUGGGGAGCAAACAGGAUUAGAUACCCCGGUAGUCCCUGUCUCUUAUAC